CUUCAUUACACAAGAUAAGCUACCUCUCUGCUAUUAACGCGUACAUGUCGGCGCGCUCAGUUUUUGACGCUACGGAUGGCAAUAUGUUGAAACAAAAUAUUCGAAACACCAAAAUGUUUCCACGUGCACCAUAUAAUCUCGCGAUAUUUUCUAUAGUAAUCAUUACGACAGUUCUGCACGGUUCGGAUUCUCGCACACAGAGCUCAGCUCCCAUGAUGUAUGAAGACAAGGAUCUCAAUAUUCUCGACGAACUUCUACAAAGCUAUGACCGAAGAGUGACACCAACACACCACAUAAAUUUCCCUACUACAGUUAAAUGUGAGCUUUACCUGAGAAGUAUAGGUGCUAUCAACCCUGCAACUAUGGAUUAUGAGGUAGACCUGUAUCUUCGCCAGACUUGGCAUGACGAGCGCCUGCGCAGUAACAACUUGACUAGGCAUCUGGAUCUGAACGAUCCAAUCCUGGUCAAAAGGCUGUGGCGGCCAGACGUUUACUUUCCCAAUGCUAAACAUGGAGAAUUCCAAUAUGUGACCGUACCCAAUGUUUUACUGAGAGUCAAUCCUAAUGGCGAUAUUCUUUAUAUGCUUAGGCUGAAGCUAACCUUUUCCUGCAUGAUGGAGAUGGAACGUUACCCAUUAGACACUCAAGUGUGCGAUAUCGAGCUGGCAUCAUUUUCCAAGACUGUCCGAGAGGUAAAGCUGCAGUGGCUGAACGAGAAGUCAGUAUCAAUGUACAAUGAUCUUAAACUUGCACAGUUUGAACUACAGCAGGUCAGCCUGGCGGUGUGCAAAGAGUCUUUCCAAAUUGGUGAAUACAGCUGCCUACAAGCCAGACUUGAUCUGAAACGAUCCAUUGGUCAUUAUCUCGUUCAGUACUAUCUUCCUUCGACCCUCAUCGUCUUUAUAUCAUGGGUCUCCUUCUGGCUCGACGUCGACGCCAUUCCUGCUCGAAUUACAUUAGGUGUCACCACUUUGCUGACCAUUUCGUCCGAGAGUAGUGAUCAACAGUCUAAUCUGGCACCGGUUUCUUAUGUUAAAGCCUUAGAUGUCUGGAUGGGCACGUGCACUUUUUUUGUCUUCGCUGCCUUGAUAGAAUUUACAUUUGUCAGCUACUUGGCAAGAAAACGGGGAAACGUCCAGAAAUUUAAAGCAGAAGAUGGCGAAGUUAAUGCUACUUUGAUUGUGCCCGUUUCCAGCAUACAAGACGUGAUGAACAUUCGGGAAAUUUCUUCGCUGAUGCUAUUACCCGCCAGAGGAUGUGCCAAGCGAAUUGACAAGAUCAGUAGAAUUGUCUUUCCUAUUGGUUUCCUGAUUGUCAACGUUUUCUACUGGCCGUAUUAUUUGUAUUAAUUUGUAUUGUUUUCUUUUCUGUUUACUUUGUAUUCUUUUUAACAUGUUAAAGUAUUAUAUUGCUUCAUAUUGUGCAAGGUAAAUUGUUGUCUGGAAAACUGUGUUGCCAUGUCUGUGUAUAACGUAUGUAAGUUUUGAAAACUAUUUGACUUGUAAUGUUUUUCUAGUUUUGGAAACAUUGUUUACCUUUUUGACGGUUUUCUAUUUGUAGUCUUCGAGUUACGUUUUUUUUUUUUAAUUUAUCUUAAAGUCAGUAGUUCAGUUUUAAUCAUAUUAUAUUUUCGAUGUUAAAUGUUUUCAUUAGAAUUGCGUAUUGUAUGUACAUCUGGAUGUGUCGUUAAUAGCGAGGGUACCGAGUUGUUGAUUCAGUGUAUGCUAAUCAUUUAGGUGGUUAGGGCGCUCGACUCGCAAUCUGCGGGUCGCGGAUUCGAAUCCCCGUCACACCAAACAUGCUCACCCUUUC
This is an RNA transcript of Limulus polyphemus (Atlantic horseshoe crab), 1812 nucleotides long. It is a transcript of the gene named glycine receptor subunit alpha-2-like, with no coding region annotated. Lineage: Eukaryota; Metazoa; Arthropoda; Merostomata; Xiphosura; Limulidae. The transcript has 9 exons. The record is from RefSeq and is a predicted model, not a curated record.